RNAcentral lists this non-coding RNA (24 nucleotides) under Arabidopsis thaliana (thale cress). The record is from RNAcentral. Lineage: Eukaryota; Viridiplantae; Streptophyta; Magnoliopsida; Brassicales; Brassicaceae.
CCAAGUGUCGUUAGCUCAAUUGGU